ACAACCAUUUUCAUCUUGACCUUUUAGCUAAGUGCUCACAUUGUAUUUGACCAUUUUUGCUAUACUCAGCAACAACAUUUUAAUGGAGGAAAGUAUUGGAGUCUACAAACCUACUGGGGUGUUGUUUGACACACCUGAGUACAACACAGCUUUAAAGACCUGCUGGCACCCUCAAAGCUACAAGACUCAGAUUGCAGUGAUGAUGGCAUUCCUUGGA
Maylandia zebra (zebra mbuna) is the source of this 217-nucleotide non-coding RNA. Lineage: Eukaryota; Metazoa; Chordata; Actinopteri; Cichliformes; Cichlidae. The record is from RefSeq and is a predicted model, not a curated record.